RNAcentral lists this ribosomal RNA (253 nucleotides) under uncultured bacterium. RNAcentral's name for it is "partial 16S ribosomal RNA". It matches the Rfam family "Bacterial small subunit ribosomal RNA", at positions 524 to 776 of the family's 1533-position model. The record is from RNAcentral.
UACGUAGGUGGCAAGCGUUGUCCGGAUUUAUUGGGUUUAAAGGGUGCGUAGGCGGCCCUGUAAGUCAGUGGUGAAAUACUCCAGCUUAACUGGAGGGGUGCCAUUGAUACUGCAGGGCUUGAGUGGAGUAGAAGUAGGCGGAAUUGACGGUGUAGCGGUGAAAUGCUUAGAUAUCGUCAAGAACACCGAUAGUGAAGACAGCUUACUAUGUUUCAACUGACGCUGAGGCACGAAAGUGUGGGGAUCAAACAGG